This 264-nucleotide unclassified non-coding RNA is filed under the name Hevea brasiliensis (rubber tree). Lineage: Eukaryota; Viridiplantae; Streptophyta; Magnoliopsida; Malpighiales; Euphorbiaceae. The record is from RNAcentral.
AUCAACCCAAAAACCUGCAAGAGUUUGUAUGCUUCUGAACUUGAAAACGAAGAAAAAGAGGGGGAAAAAAAUUCCUGCCACAGACCCUGCGCUGUCCAUGGGAGCAUGCUGAAGCUGAAGCUGAAGCAACAAGGAGAAGCACUGGAGCUGUGAUAAAAAGCAAGAAUUGGGAAAGACCCAUUAAGGAAAAGAUUGAAGGGAAUGGCAAAAAUAGCAGGGAUCGAUGUGUGACAAAGACGAUGGGUUCUGGCUGUAAAAGGGAAG